UCGGGAAUUUUGGGCAAUGGGCGAAAGCCUGACCCAGCAACGCCGCGUGAAGGAUGAAGUAUUUCGGUAUGUAAACUUCGAAAGAAUAGGAAGAAUAAAUGACGGUACUAUUUAUAAGGUCCGGCUAACUACGUGCCAGCAGCCGCGGUAAUACGUAGGGACCAAGCGUUGUUCGGAUUUACUGGGCGUAAAGGGCGCGUAGGCGGCAAUUCAAGUCAUCUGUGAAAUCUCCGGGCUUAACUCGGAACGGUCAGAUGAUACUGCUUUGCUAGAGUGCAGAAGGGGCAAUCGGAAUUCUUGGUGUAGCGGUGAAAUGCGUAGAUAUCAAGAGGAACACCUGAGGUGAAGACGGGUUGCUGGGCUGACACUGACGCUGAGGCGCGAAAGCGUGGGGAGCAAACAGGAUUAGAUACCCUCGUAGUCCCUGAGCGGGCUGGCAAGGCGCAU
RNAcentral lists this ribosomal RNA (447 nucleotides) under uncultured bacterium. Its description in RNAcentral is "bacterial SSU rRNA". It matches the Rfam family "Bacterial small subunit ribosomal RNA", at positions 355 to 825 of the family's 1533-position model. The record is from RNAcentral.